GAUGGAAGAACGCAGUGAAAUGCGAUAAGUAAUGCGAAUUGCAGAAUUCAGUGAAUCAUCGAAUCUUUGAACGCACAUUGCGCCCGCCAGUAUUCUGGCGGGCAUGCCUGUCCGAGCGUCAUUUCAACCCCUCCAGCCACUAUGGCUGGGCGUUGGGGCACGACGGCCUCCCCUGGCGGUCGGCCCUGAAACGAAGUGGCGGUCCUGCUAGGAACCUCUGCGUAGUAGCCACACUCGCUUAGGAACUGGGUAGUGACCACGCCGAACCCCCUAUUUUUCUUAGGUUGACCUCGGAUCAGGUAGGACUACCCGCUGAACUUAAGCAUAUCAAUAAGCGGAGGA
Molecule: unclassified non-coding RNA, 342 nt
Filed under: soil metagenome
Description: partial contains 5.8S ribosomal RNA, internal transcribed spacer 2, and large subunit ribosomal RNA
Rfam family: 5.8S ribosomal RNA (bases 5-121)
Source: RNAcentral